RNAcentral lists this long non-coding RNA (1021 nucleotides) under Elaeis guineensis (African oil palm). RNAcentral's name for it is "long non-coding RNA (EGUI_LNC078274)". The record is from RNAcentral. Lineage: Eukaryota; Viridiplantae; Streptophyta; Magnoliopsida; Arecales; Arecaceae.
GUAAUCAUCAAAAUCAAUCUAGGAGCAACAGGAUCGGCUAGGAAUGCGACAACCGUUGAUGCAUCAUGAUAUCACAAGUCAAGCAACAAAAUAGAUUUAAAUAAUUAAAGUUCAAAUUUUAGACUAAAAAACCAAAAAUCCAACAACAUCCAAAGUCUUACAUCAACUUUUAAAAAACUCUAAAAUCUAAUCUAUAUGACAAAGAAGUCAAAACUCUGCUUCUAAUCAGUCUCCAUAGCAAUACCCCAUGCCAAAUUAGUUCUCUGAAUCUAUAAAGUAGUAGAAUAUUGAAUAAUAUGCUAGACAGCCUAGUAAGAAAUGAACACUUUAAUUAGAAAAAUUAGGUAAUAAGAUGAAUACCAUUUUUGCUGAAAAUAAAUAUAUGGAAUACAUCAAUUCAAAAAACAAAAUCUAGAUAUGCAGCAUUAUUUGUUAGAAUUCAAGUUUGCAUUCAUAAAUCCAAUUAUUGCAAGAUAUCAAGUUCAUCCUAUCAGCCAUGAACUGUGGUAGUGUCCUUUUUAGAACACCUAUUUCUUCUUGUGGUGUCGUCCUUUAGGAUUAAUCAUAUCCCAAUGUUGAACCCUCGUUAAUAGGGUCAUUUCCAAUGUUUAACCUAAGGUUUGCCAUCUCGAUAUCGGACCCCAUAAUGGUAUCAUCCUAUUAUAGUGUCGACACACAGUUCGGUAUGAUACAAUAAUAUCGAUAUGGUUACGGUAUGCUUGGUAUUGGGUGGUAUGGCAAACCUUGGUUUGACCCUUAUUGGUGGGGUCCUUGCAUCAGUAUGCCAUCCCAUUUCUAGUGUAAAUCCUUCAGGGCUUGACAAGUGCUAAUGUUCAAUCCCCAUUGGUGAUUCCUUAACAUAAUCAAGCUUCUAGUCCAAAACCAUCUCCAGUUAAAACUCUUUUUCACAAACAUAUGCUUCAUGUUCCAACCCAAGAAAUACACAAUACCACAUCGUAUCAGAGUCAAUCGAGCAUAAUCCAUAAUGAAAUCAUGACUUAUAGUACUUACAUGAUCAUGA